RNAcentral lists this ribosomal RNA (432 nucleotides) under uncultured bacterium. Its description in RNAcentral is "partial 16S ribosomal RNA". It matches the Rfam family "Bacterial small subunit ribosomal RNA", at positions 29 to 507 of the family's 1533-position model. The record is from RNAcentral.
AACGAACGCUGGCGGCAUGCCUAACACAUGCAAGUCGAACGAGACCUUCGGGUCUAGUGGCGCACGGGUGCGUAACGCGUGGAAACCUGCCCUUAGGUUCGGAAUAACUCCCCGAAAGGGGUGCUAAUACCGGAUAAUGUCUUCGGACCAAAGAUUAUCGCCUUUGGAUGGGCCCGCGUUGGAUUAGCUAGUUGGUAGGGUAAAAGCCUACCAAGGCGACGAUCCAUAGCUGGUCUGAGAGGAUGAUCAGCCACACUGGGACUGAGACACGGCCCAGACUCCUACGGGAGGCAGCAGUGGGGAAUAUUGGACAAUGGGCGAAAGCCUGAUCCAGCAAUGCCGCGUGAGUGAUGAAGGCCUUAGGGUUGUAAAGCUCUUUUACCCGGGAUGAUAAUGACAGUACCGGGAGAAUAAGCUCCGGCUAACUCCGUG